This 288-nucleotide ribosomal RNA is filed under the name uncultured Bacteroides sp. RNAcentral's name for it is "partial 16S ribosomal RNA". It matches the Rfam family "Bacterial small subunit ribosomal RNA", at positions 59 to 339 of the family's 1533-position model. The record is from RNAcentral. Lineage: Bacteria; Pseudomonadati; Bacteroidota; Bacteroidia; Bacteroidales; Bacteroidaceae.
AAGUCGAGGGGCAGCAUGAACUUAGCUUGCUAAGUUUGAUGGCGACCGGCGCACGGGUGAGUAACGCGUAUCCAACCUUCCGCUUACUCGGGAAUAGCCUUUCGAAAGAAAGAUUAAUACCCGAUGGUAUCUUAAGCGCACAUGCAAAUAAGAUUAAAGAUUUAUCGGUAAGCGAUGGGGAUGCGUUCCAUUAGAUAGUAGGCGGGGUAACGGCCCACCUAGUCGACGAUGGAUAGGGGUUCUGAGAGGAAGGUCCCCACAUUGGAACUGAGACACGGUCCAAACUCC